GUGGGGAAUCUUGCGCAAUGGGCGAAAGCCUGACGCAGCAACGCCGCGUGCGGGAUGACGGCCUUCGUGGUUGUAAACCGCUUUCAGCAGGGACGAAACUGACGGUACCUGCAGAAGAAGCCCCGGCUAACUACGUGCCAGCAGCCGCGGUAAUACGUAGGGGGCGAGCGUUGUCCGGAUUCAUUGGGCGUAAAGAGCUCGUAGGCGGUUCAGUAAGUCGGGUGUGAAAGCUCCGAGCUCAACUCGGAGAGGCCACCCGAUACUGCUGUGACUUGAGUCCAGUAGAGGAGCGUGGAACUCCUGGUGUAGCGGUGAAAUGCGCAGAUAUCAGGAAGAACACCGGUAGCGAAGGCGGCGCUCUGGGCUGGAACUGACGCUGAGGAGCGAAAGCGUGGGUAGCAAACAGGAUUAGAAACCCGUGUAGUCC
Molecule: ribosomal RNA, 427 nt
Filed under: uncultured bacterium
Lineage: Bacteria
Description: bacterial SSU rRNA
Rfam family: Bacterial small subunit ribosomal RNA
Source: RNAcentral